UUGGAGGGCAAGUCUGGUGCCAGCAGCCGCGGUAAUUCCAGCUCCAAUAGCGUAUAUUAAAGUUGUUGCAGUUAAAAAGCUCGUAGUUGAAUUUCGGGACCAAUUUGUUGGUCGUGCCUCGGUACGUACUGGUAUUAUUGGUUUCUCCCUUCUGAAGAACCAUGAUGCCAUUAAUUUGGUGUCGUGGGGAAUCAGGACUGUUACUUUGAAAAAAUUAGAGUGUUUAAAGCAGGCAUACGCUUGAAUACAUUAGCAUGGAAUAAUGAAAUAGGACGUUUGAUUCUAUUUUGUUGGUUUCUAGGAUCGACGUAAUGAUUAAUAGGGAUAGUUGGGGGCAUUAGUAUUCAAUUGUCAGAGGUGAAAUUCUUGGAUUUAUUGAAGACUAACUACUGCGAAAGCAUUUGCCAAGGAUGUUUUCAUUAAUCAAGAACGAAAGUUAGGGGAUCGAAGACGAUCAGAUACCGUCGUAGUCUUAACCAUAAACUAUGCCGACUAGGGAUCGGAUGAUGUUAAUUUUUUAAUGACUCAUUCGGCGCCUUACGGGAAACCAAAGUGUUUGGGUUC
This 564-nucleotide ribosomal RNA is filed under the name uncultured Glomeromycotina. Its description in RNAcentral is "SSU rRNA". It matches the Rfam family "Eukaryotic small subunit ribosomal RNA", at positions 548 to 1114 of the family's 1831-position model. Lineage: Eukaryota; Fungi; Glomeromycota. The record is from RNAcentral.